UUUUAAUUUUUUUAAAAUCAGGAAAAAAUUUAAUUCAUAAAAUCGUACUUAUUCAAACACAUGUGGGUUAAUUAGUAAGUGAAAGCGUAGGAAGUAAUAAUUUUGAAGGAACUCGGCAAAUUGACUCUGUAACUUCGGAAUAAAGAGGAUCUGUGCAAGAUGUCAUAAAAUAGGGAGUAGCGACUGUUUAACAAAAACAUAAGAUUUUGCUAAAUUGAAAAAUGAUGUAUAAAAUCUGACACCUGCCCAGUGCUGCAAGGUAAAAAUAUUAAGAUGUAAUGUUUUGGUAAUAAACCCCAGUAAACGGCGGCCGUAACCCUGACGGUCCUAAGGUAGCGAAAUUCCUUGGCGGGUAAGUUCCGUCCCGCAUGAAUGGUGUAACGACUGCUCCGCUGUCUCCAAAAUUAUUUCCAUGAAAUUGAAUUACCCGUGAAGAUGCGGUUAAGUACAGCUAGACGGAAAGACCCUAUGCACCUUUACUUUAAUCUUUUAUUUAACAAACGUAAUUUAUAUAUAGAAAUAUGGGAGAUUUUUUUAUCGACGAUGGAAAACCAUUUAUAUUUUAAUUUUGUUUAAUUUAUAAAAAUAUAUUAUUUAUAAAUAAUAAAAGAUGGAUAGUUUAGCUGGGGCGGCUGCCUUCUAAAUAGUAACGAAGGUGUAUACAAAACUAUAGAUAAAAAAAUUUUUUAAUUUUUUGAGUUAUGGAAAUAAAUAUUAAUAGUUUGAUUAAUGUACUUACUAGUAUAUUAAGGAUGUAUAGUCUAUUAUAUUGACCCGGUAUUAUUGUAAGGAAAAUUUAUCGAUCAUCGGAUAAAAGGUACGCUAGGGAUAACAGGCUAAUGAAUCUUGAGAGUUCUUAUUGAUGGGUUUGUUUGGCACCUCGAUGUCGACUCAUCACAUCCUGGUGGUGCACAAUCUACCAAGGGUUCGGCUGUUCGCCGAUUAAAGUGAUACGUGAGUUGGGUUCAGAACGUCGUGAGACAGUUUGGUCCCUAUCUACUGUACUAAAAAAAAAUAAACAACAAUUUACCUUAGUACGAGAGGACCGGGAAGAAUUAACCUCUGAUUAUCAAUUACUAUUAUUAGUAGUAUGUUGAAAAGUUAAGUUAAUAAUUAAUAAUAGUUGAAAAAAAUUAAACUAGAAUUAAUGUUGUUUUAUUUUUUAAUAAUAUUAUUUUAAGUUAAUUUAUUUAUAAGUUUUGGCAGUCAUCUACCGGGCGGGUAGUUUAU
RNAcentral lists this non-coding RNA (1230 nucleotides) under Corchorus olitorius. RNAcentral's name for it is "Bacterial large subunit ribosomal RNA". It matches the Rfam family "Bacterial large subunit ribosomal RNA", at positions 1600 to 2925 of the family's 2925-position model. Lineage: Eukaryota; Viridiplantae; Streptophyta; Magnoliopsida; Malvales; Malvaceae. The record is from Rfam by way of RNAcentral.